GCUGGGACAGUCGAGCUGCUGCGGGAUGGCUUUGGUGUUGCUACGUUUGGGGCCGUUGGAGUUGAAAAGGGGUGGUCCUCCCACAAUGUCGUGAAUGAUACCCAACCAGCAGCUUUGCCGGAGGCAUGGAGGUGGUGCGCUGGACAUGGAACGUAGAUUGCCCUCCCUUACCACUUGCAUUGUUCCUUUCAUUUUGCUUAUGUAUAGUGUGCCCUUCAGUUCCCCGAGGCUGAUGGGCUUGUUGUGCUCAGCAGGUGUGCUUCGCUCUGUAUACGGUGUGUGGGCCUUGGAUGUUUGUCAUUGUAGUGGUCCUGUUUCUAUUUUGUGUGGGUGAUUUUAUUUAUAAGUACCUUUAAUGUUUGAUCCCAUUGAUUGUAAGUAUAUUACAUGUUUUAUUUUUGUAUGGUUGUUGCUGAUGUACAC
This 423-nucleotide long non-coding RNA is filed under the name Androctonus crassicauda. Lineage: Eukaryota; Metazoa; Arthropoda; Arachnida; Scorpiones; Buthidae. The record is from RNAcentral.